Molecule: ribosomal RNA, 795 nt
Filed under: uncultured Gemmatimonadota bacterium
Lineage: Bacteria; Pseudomonadati; Gemmatimonadota
Description: bacterial SSU rRNA
Rfam family: Bacterial small subunit ribosomal RNA
Source: RNAcentral
GGGGGCCCGCAAGGGCAACCGGCGAACGGGUGCGUAACACGUGAGCAACCUGCCGAUCUGCGGGGGAUAGCCGGCCCAACGGCCGGGUAAUACCGCAUACGUUCUCGAAGGGGAGUCCUUUUGAGAGGAAACCUUUAUUGGGCGGAUCGAGGGGCUCGCGGCCUAUCAGCUAGUUGGCGGGGUAAUGGCCCACCAAGGCUCUGACGGGUAGCUGGUCUGAGAGGAUGGCCAGCCACAUUGGGACUGAGAAACGGCCCAGACUCCUACGGGAGGCAGCAGUGGGGAAUCUUGCGCAAUGGCCGAAAGGCUGACGCAGCGACGCCGCGUGUGGGAGGACGCCCUUCGGGGUGUAAACCACUGUUGCCCGGGACGAACAUCUGGUUUCGACCAGACUGACGGUACCGGGUGAGGAAGCACCGGCUAACUCCGUGCCAGCAGCCGCGGUAAUACGGAGGGUGCGAGCGUUGUCCGGAAUCACUGGGCGUAAAGGGCGCGUANGCGGCGCGGAUAGUCGGCGGUGAAAGCCCGGAGCUCAACUCCGGGUCGGCCGUCGAUACUUCCGGGCUUGAGCACUGUAGAGGCAGAUGGAAUUCCGGGUGUAGCGGUGGAAUGCGUAGAGAUCCGGAAGAACACCGGUGGCGAAGGCGGUCUGCUGGGCAGUUGCUGACGCUGAUGCGCGACAGCGUGGGGAGCAAACAGGAUUAGAUACCCUGGUAGUCCACGCCGUAAACGAUGGGCACUAGGUGCUUGGGGGAGCGACCCUCUGAGUGCCGGCGCUAACGCAUUAAGUGCCCC